This 2693-nucleotide long non-coding RNA is filed under the name Nicotiana tabacum (common tobacco). Its description in RNAcentral is "long non-coding RNA (NTAB_LNC013008)". The record is from RNAcentral. Lineage: Eukaryota; Viridiplantae; Streptophyta; Magnoliopsida; Solanales; Solanaceae.
CGGAAUCCGAUGUCCCAAUAUCACGAACCGUCUACGAAUACUACAUACAAAUGUCUAAAAGAAAGUACAAUCUAUCUCAAAAGCAAAUGAAAACAGAAUACAUAUAAAGAUAGAAGAGAACGUCGGGCCUGCAGACGCCUGCAGGACUACCUCGGGAUCUCUAGCUGGACUGAAGGUAGCUACCCAAUGCUACAGCCAAAAGUUGUCGCUCUGGGAUCUGUACAUAGUGCAAAGUGUAGAAUCAGCACAACCAACCCCAUGUGCUGGUAAGUGACUGGCCUAACCUCGGCGAAGUAGUGACGAGGCUAAGACCAGACUACCAAAUAAACCUGUACAGUUAUAUAAUAUGCAUCAAAAACUAAAAUAGGAAAAUAACAAGUAAAGAUAGGAGGGGGUACAUGUUGUACGGGAAUAUUAGUACCAACAGUGAAUUAAGAGAAAAGCAGAAGAACAAUUUAGAAUUUACAGCAAAACAAUAAGGAACUCGUAACCAAUCUAUGAACACUUUGUAUUAUCAAUUGUUGCGGCGCGCAACCCGAUCCCAAAACAUAACAACUCUGUUGCAGCGCGCAAUACAAUCCAUAUCAUUUAUUACUGUUGCGGCGUUCAACACGAUCCAAUUAUAUUAUUGUUGUGGCGUGCAACCCUAUCCAACUAUAAUAUUGUUGCGGCGUGCAACCCUAUCCAAAUAUUAUAUUGUUGGGGUGUGCAACCCUAUCCAAAAAUAAUAUUGUUGCAGCGCGUAGCCCGAUCCACAUAUAUAGUUCAACACUAAUCACAACAAGAGUCCCGACAAGGGAUCAAUAAAGAAACAAUACUAUCAUGGCAAGGGAAUCGAUAGUGUACGUAAAUACGUCCCGGCAAGGGAAAAUCAACUAUAAGAUAACUUGUUCCGACAUAUAACUACCUCAACUAGCACCAAUACUCAAUCAUAAGUAAUUUCCACGAGGAUAAUCAUAAUCCUUGUUCAACUCAGAGAAUCCACAACUUAGGCAUUUGUAGUAUCUAUUUAGAACACAACAAUUUCAAUCUAAGACUCACGAUCAUGCUUGACACCAAUGUAUAGAUACUCAUCAACAUGCCUAUAUGUCGUACUCAACAAGUAACAUGUAGCAAAUAGGACUCAACUCCUAAUCCCUCAGGAUAAUGUUAGACCCAACACUUACCUCGAUGCCACGAACACAAUUCAUGUCUCUACUGUCGCUUUACCUCUUGAUUCCACCAUUAAUUCAUUCGUAUCUAGCCACAAGUUACUUAAUUACAUCAAUAAAUGCUAAAUGAAUCAAUUCUAAUGCAUGAAAAUGAGUUUUCUAAAGUUUUACCUAAAAAGUCAAAAAUCGCCCCCGGGCUUACAUGGUCAAAACUCGAGGUUCGAACCAAAACUCGAUUACACAUUCCCCCACGAACCCAAAUAUAUAAUUUGUUUUGAAAUCGGACCUCAAUUCGAGGUCCAAAUCCCAAAUUUUUGGAAAACCUAGGUUCUACCCAAAACACUCAAUUUCCCCUAUGAAAAUCAUUGAUUUUGAGUUGAAAUAAUGUGAAAAUAUGUUAAAGAUUGAAGAAAACGAGUUAAAAUUGAAUUACAAUCGAUUUGGAAGAAGAGUUGUCUUUGAAAAAUCGCCCAAGAGUGUUUUGGUUUUGAAAGAGUGUGGAAAAUGGAAGAUUUUCGGCUAAGUUAUAAAAUUGCAGGUUGCAGAUGUCGUAAUUGCGAACCCAGACUUCUGCUAAAUUCGCAUUUGCGAGUUGGGAAUUGCGAACAACUUGUCGCAUUUGCGAUGACUGGCUAAAAUAGGGGGGAUCGCAUUUGCGAUAGAAUCCUCGCAGUUGCGAGGUAGGCCACCCUGGGUUACAUUUCGCAUUUGCAACAUGGCCCUUGCAUUUGCGAGCCAGGCUUCGCAAAAGUGAAGCCUGCAGGCCUACACUGAAAUAGCUGAAAACCUGCAAUUCUCCAAGUCCAAAAUCCACCCCUUGGCCUAUCCAAAACUCACCCGAGCCCUCGGGGCUCUAAACCAAAUAUGCACACCAAUCUAAAAGCAUCAUAAGGACUCGCUCGUUCAUUCAAAUCACUAAAAUAACAUCAACAACUAUGAAUUUAGCAUCAAAAUCAUGAAAUUUCUUAAGAACUUCAAAUUUUCUAAUUUUCUCAAAAACAAUCUGAUUCACGUCGUUUCAAGUCCGUUGCUUACCAAAUUUCACAGACUUAUCUUAAAUCACAUAUAAGACCUAUAUCGGGCGCCGAAACCAUAAUACGGGCCCGAUACCAUCAAGUUUUAAACACAUUUUAUUUUCAAAAACUCAUAAAUAUUCCAGAAAAUAACUUGCAUUAAAAAUUCAUUUCUCAGGCUUGGGACCUCAAAAUUCAAUUCCGGGCAUACGCCCAAGUCCCAUAUUUUCCUACGGACCCUUCAGAACCAUCAAAUCACGGGUCUGAGUCCGUUUACCCAAAAUAUUGAUCGAAGUCAACUUAAUUUAUUUUAUAGUUAAAAUUCAUUAUUUUUCAAAGAUUUUCACAAAAUGGCUUUCCGACUACGCACGAAAAUCGAGGUGAUGCUGAAAGAGGUUUUUAAAGCCUCGAAAAUAGAAUUUAUUUUCAAAAAAAGUGAUGACCUUUUGGGUCAUCACACUAAUACCUGCCUCCAUAUCUGCAUGAGGCGAAUCCCUGUCUCCCUAUCUGCAUGAGGCUAAUCCCUGCC